GGUCGGUUAAACUCGAGGUUGACUUUGAUGGUGAUUGUGUACAUGUAUAGAUUCUUACAACUUAGAGUUGCAUAAGGAAGGUGAGGGUCGUGUUUGGGGUGGUUCGAGUGCAUUUGGACUCAUAUUUCUUUUAUUCCUUUAAACCGAUUUCUGAGCCAAAAGUGGUUCCACAAGCAAACAGCAACAAAAGGCACUUACUUAAGUCAUUAAUAAGUUACUGUAAAAUUUUGGGAGCCAUUGGAUUACCACAAAAAGAUUUAAACGUAUUUUACCACCAAGGGUAGCAUGCACUUAACUAUUUGUAUCUCAAAACCUA
Molecule: long non-coding RNA, 316 nt
Filed under: Setaria viridis
Lineage: Eukaryota; Viridiplantae; Streptophyta; Magnoliopsida; Poales; Poaceae
Description: long non-coding RNA (SVIR_LNC000681)
Source: RNAcentral